AACAAAUUUUAGGCAGGUCUUCUAAACUUGUUUUGGAUUUUUAUCCGUUUGUUU
Molecule: transfer RNA, 54 nt
Filed under: Strongyloides procyonis
Lineage: Eukaryota; Metazoa; Nematoda; Chromadorea; Rhabditida; Strongyloididae
Description: tRNA-Ser
Source: RNAcentral